UCAUACUCAAUCUAGCAGCAGCAAUGUGCCAUCUAAUCAUACAGAUCAUGGCCAUGUUAAUCUGCAUAUGGAACCCUCCUGUUUUAAGCAAUAUGAAGCUCUUAGAAAUGGACAGGUGGUGCCAAUGCUUGAUGCUAGACUUGCAAAAGCUGUAGCCUCACAGUUCUCUCUUGGAAAGCCUUCUCAAAAUAUUCUUAGCUCUUUGGAGCAGUUAGAUGCUGCUGAUGCUGGUCAGGG
This 237-nucleotide unclassified non-coding RNA is filed under the name Hevea brasiliensis (rubber tree). Lineage: Eukaryota; Viridiplantae; Streptophyta; Magnoliopsida; Malpighiales; Euphorbiaceae. The record is from RNAcentral.